Molecule: transfer RNA, 66 nt
Filed under: Leptidea morsei
Lineage: Eukaryota; Metazoa; Arthropoda; Insecta; Lepidoptera; Pieridae
Description: tRNA-Asp
Source: RNAcentral
AAAGAAUUAGUUAAAAUAUAACAUAAAUAUGUCAAAUUUAAAUUAUUAUUCAAAUAAUAUUCUUUU